Molecule: ribosomal RNA, 1365 nt
Filed under: metagenome
Description: bacterial LSU rRNA
Rfam family: Bacterial large subunit ribosomal RNA
Source: RNAcentral
UAAGGACAAGUUGUGAUGGGGAGGGAAAUUUAAGUACCGAAGUUUCUGAUGUCACACUGCCGAGAAAAGCUUCUAGUUAGAAAACAACGGCCCGUACCGUAAACCGACACAGGUAGUCGAGGAGAGUAUCCUAAGGUGUGCGAGAGAACUCUCGUUAAGGAACUCGGCAAAAUGACCCCGUAACUUCGGGAGAAGGGGUGCUGUUCGCAAGAACAGCCGCAGUGAAUAGGCCCAAGCGACUGUUUAUCAAAAACACAGGUCUCUGCAAAAUCGAAAGAUGAAGUAUAGGGGCUGACGCCUGCCCGGUGCUGGAAGGUUAAGAGGAGUGCUUAGCGCAAGCGAAGGUACGAAUUGAAGCCCCAGUAAACGGCGGCCGUAACCAUAACGGUCCUAAGGUAGCGAAAUUCCUUGUCGGGUAAGUUCCGACCCGCACGAAAGGCGUAACGAUUUGGGCACUGUCUCAACGAGAGACUCGGUGAAAUUUUAGUACCUGUGAAGAUGCAGGUUACCCGCGACAGGACGGAAAGACCCCAUGGAGCUUUACUGUAAUUUGAUAUUGAGUGUCUGUACCGCAUGUACAGGAUAGGUAGGAGCCGGAGAGAUCGGGACGCUAGUUUCGAUGGAGGCAAUGGUGGGAUACUACCCUUGCGUUAUGGCCACUCUAACCCGCAUCACUAAUCGUGAUGGGAGACAGUGUCAGAUGGGCAGUUUGACUGGGGCGGUCGCCUCCUAAAAGGUAACGGAGGCGCCCAAAGGUUCCCUCAGAAUGGUUGGAAAUCAUUCGUAGAGUGCAAAGGCAAAAGGGAGCUUGACUGCGAGAGCUACAACUCGAGCAGGGACGAAAGUCGGGCUUAGUGAUCCGGUGGUUCCGCAUGGAAGGGCCAUCGCUCAACGGAUAAAAGCUACCCUGGGGAUAACAGGCUUAUCUCCCCCAAGAGUCCACAUCGACGGGGAGGUUUGGCACCUCGAUGUCGGCUCGUCGCAUCCUGGGGCUGUAGUCGGUCCCAAGGGUUGGGCUGUUCGCCCAUUAAAGCGGCACGCGAGCUGGGUUCAGAACGUCGUGAGACAGUUCGGUCCCUAUCCGUCGCGGGCGUUGGAAAUUUGAGAGGAGCUGUCCUUAGUACGAGAGGACCGGGAUGGACUUACCGCUGGUGUACCAGUUGUCUCGCCAGAGGCAUCGCUGGGUAGCUAUGUAGGGAAGGGAUAAACGCUGAAAGCAUCUAAGUGUGAAGCCCACCUCAAGAUGAGAUUUCCCAUUUCUUUAAGAAAGUAAGAUCCCUGAGAGAUGAUCAGGUAGAUAGGUCAGGAGUGGAAGUGCAGCGAUGUACGGAGCGGACUGGUACUAAUCGAUCGAGGACUUAACCG